Long non-coding RNA from Bombyx mori (domestic silkworm), 892 nucleotides. RefSeq lists it as uncharacterized. Lineage: Eukaryota; Metazoa; Arthropoda; Insecta; Lepidoptera; Bombycidae. The transcript has 3 exons. The record is from RefSeq and is a predicted model, not a curated record.
UUACCGCGCCGCUGUAAAUCAUCGAUCGACCAGGGUCUCGUGUAGGCGCGUGAGUCAGGUGUAGCAAGUAAACAUAGGGUGCCGCCGACCCUCAUUGUGUGGACCGGUGGCGCGAACAUUCGCGGCACGUCCUAUGUUCGACGUUUUGUUUUGGAGCACCAUCCGGUUCCUAGUGGUGGGGGAGAGGGGACAGGUGGGCGCAGGUAACGCGAUCGACCUGAGCCAGUCCAUCUCGGUGUGUCGGGCUGCGCGAGCGCCUCGCCCGUAAUAAAUACUAACUAGUAUGGAAAUGGCUAGUCAUUCCGCGACAGGUGCGCGCCCGCGGCGUUCGUGCACGUGUGCUGUUAGUGAGUGCGCAGCCGCUGCCUCCCGCACCAGCAUGGCCAAAGGAACAAAAAUUUCGAAGAGGAUGAAAACUGAAAAUUACUUCAAUAAAUUACUUCGUGGAUUGAACAGUUUGUUGGUGAUGAACUAGGUAAGUAUAUACCAAAAUUAUUAUACAUUUUAACUAUUUUUAGCUAAAAUGGAUUUAUUAUGAUGAUAUGGAGAGGGAAAGAGGUCUACCAAAGAAGGCAUGGAAGGAGUGUGUGAAUGACGAUAUGAGAGAGAGAGAGGAGUGAGUGUUGAGGUCACGGCUGAUAGAAGAGAAUGGAAGAGAAAAAUGAGCUGUGCCGACCUCUAGUGAGAUAAGGUGAAGAAAAAGAAGAAGAACUAUUUUUAGCUACUACUUUGAAUUUGAUCAUAGUCUUUCAAAUAUGAAGGUAGAUAGGAUGAGUCAAUUUAUAGCUUUAUGCAUAAAAUCACAGAUAUAGCAUUGCUUCUUACUCAGCUUUUUUAUGAUCCGCAGAAAUAUGUAAUAUUGAAAAGUAAAGUUAAUAUUUUAAAGUAACAA